This 147-nucleotide small nuclear RNA is filed under the name Aotus nancymaae (Ma's night monkey). RNAcentral describes it as "U1 spliceosomal RNA (ENSANAG00000015138.1)". It matches the Rfam family "U1 spliceosomal RNA", at positions 1 to 149 of the family's 166-position model. Rfam says of the family: U1 is a small nuclear RNA (snRNA) component of the spliceosome (involved in pre-mRNA splicing). Its 5' end forms complementary base pairs with the 5' splice junction, thus defining the 5' donor site of an intron. The record is from Rfam by way of RNAcentral. Lineage: Eukaryota; Metazoa; Chordata; Mammalia; Primates; Aotidae.
AUACUCACCUGGCAGGGAAGAUACCAUGAUCACGAAGUUGGUUUCCCCAGAGCCAGGCUUAUCCAUUGCACCCUGGAUGUGCUGAUCCCUGCAAUUUCCCCAAACCUGGGAAACUCAACUGCAUAAUUUGUGGUAGCGGGGCACUGC